Solenopsis invicta (red fire ant) is the source of this 590-nucleotide long non-coding RNA. RefSeq lists it as uncharacterized. The record is from RefSeq and is a predicted model, not a curated record. Lineage: Eukaryota; Metazoa; Arthropoda; Insecta; Hymenoptera; Formicidae. The transcript is spliced from 2 exons.
CUCUGAUAAUACUGUUUGGCUGUCUUGAUUAUAAUCUAACUUUAUUUGUAUUUAUUUUCAUUAUGUUUGAAAUAUAAUAUACUGUUACAUAUUUUAAUUAGAAUAUUAAUUUGCGAUCGAAUUUAAUAUCGUUAUUUAUAUGAUAGAUUUGAAGUGAAUUUAGAAAACAAAGUGUUUUCUAAUUCGUCUAUUUUAUUCGUAAAUAGAAAAUAUAAUCCGUUUUUGCAGAUAGAUUAUAGAUUGGUUAAACUGAGGUUAUGUACAAUUUUUGUAUUUAUUGUAUUAUAUCGUACUACGUAGAACAUAAGUUCAAAGUUUUAGAACAAUUUUUUAGAAACGCAUAAUGAGCUAAAAAAUAGAGGAAGAGUAGGAAACGAUAUGUCCCGUCCUUAGACACGGUGGCCAUCUGGCUAGUAUCGGCGCUGAAACCGAAAUCAUGAACUCCGGACGUAUGCCCAGCGAGGUCAAAUGCCUUGGCCACUGUCUUGAACUCUCCAGAUUUGCUGAAGACCACCUCCCACACGUUCACAUCCGGUGUAAAGCCUUGCGAGUGGAAAGUAUUAAAAGAUAAAAUAUAUAUUUUUCUCAUA